GAUGAACGCUGGCGGCGUGCCUAAUACAUGCCAGUCGAGCGAACGGACGAGAAGCUUGCUUCUCUGAUGUUAGCGGCGGACGGGUGAGUAACACGUGGAUAACCUACCUAUAAGACUGGGAUAACUUCGGGAAACCGGAGCUAAUACCGGAUGAUAUUUUGAACCGCAUGGUUCAAAAGUGAAAGACGGUCUUGCUGUCACUUAUAGAUGGAUCCGCGCUGCAUUAGCUAGUUGGUAAGGUAACGGCUUACCAAGGCAACGAUGCAUAGCCGACCUGAGAGGGUGAUCGGCCACACUGGAACUGAGACACGGUCCAGACUCCUACGGGAGGCGGCAGUAGGGAAUCUUCCGCAAUGGGCGAAAGCCUGACGGAGCAACGCCGCGUGAGUGAUGAAGGUCUUCGGAUCGUAAAACUCUGUUAUUAGGGAAGAACAUAUGUGUAAGUAACUGUGCACAUCUUGACGGUACCUAAUCAGAAAGCCACGGCUAACUACGUG
This 497-nucleotide ribosomal RNA is filed under the name uncultured bacterium. RNAcentral describes it as "partial 16S ribosomal RNA". It matches the Rfam family "Bacterial small subunit ribosomal RNA", at positions 28 to 507 of the family's 1533-position model. The record is from RNAcentral.